GGAAAAGUUAGCACAUGUGACUCCAUUUUGGUUUGGGGCCCACCAUUGUUUAAAUGCCAGCACAUCAUACACCAGGAGGAGUGAUCCUUAGACACUGAAUCCCUGUGAAAAUCCUCCUCCUUGUCUCCAGCCUGCCUUGACUCCCAGUAUUUGGUUUUUGUCAGUCUCUAACUCCCUGUCUCUUGGCCUUGAUGUGAGGCCUCCCAUCCUGAUAAUAAAGGUUACUGAUCCGUGGCUUUAGGACCAUGCUGUGUAAUUAACAUACUGGUAUAGCAUGAGGAAUGCACCAAGCAGGGAUAGGUGGUAGAUAAGACAAGGGUUUGUUUAUUGGCUAAGGUUUCCGAUGCACAAGGGCAACAUGCUUUGCUAAAAAGUAUAUAACCUUUGUAUAAUCUGUAUUCAGGGUCCCCUCCUGGCUAGCAGGGGAGCACCACGCUCGAGCGUAAUAAACUUAGUGUCUUUUGGGAACUUUGCAGUUGUGGACUUUGUUUAUGUGCCUCAGCCUAGAUUCGAACUGUGCGUGACCUAUCAGGUAUAAUUCGCAGCAUUGGUGUGCGUGUCCUACCAGGUGUAAUUCGCAGCAGUUGUGUGCGUGUCCUACCAGGUGUAAUUCGUAACAGUUUUGGCGACCACGAAGGGACUCUAGGCUCGCCCCAACAAGCGAGAUUACACUCCUCCUCUCGGACAGCUCCAGCCGCCAUAGGGUGAAAGAAGUCCUGCUCCAAGGAUCCUGAGCAAACCUGCCAUUUGUUAAAACCAGGUAACUGGGUCUACAUAAAGGUCCAUCAACAAAAGACUACUCUGGCCCCAUGCUGGAAAGGCCCUUAUUAAGUCCUGCUAACUACCAACACCACUGUGAAGUGACAAGGACUGACUGCCUGGACCCAUGCUUCUUACUGCAAAAAGACCCCUCCCCCUCGAGAUGACUUCACUUCGACUACUGAUCAGCCUGUCCCUCCUUUUGG
Caretta caretta (loggerhead turtle) is the source of this 965-nucleotide long non-coding RNA. RefSeq lists it as uncharacterized. The record is from RefSeq and is a predicted model, not a curated record. Lineage: Eukaryota; Metazoa; Chordata; Testudines; Cheloniidae.